Chrysemys picta bellii (western painted turtle) is the source of this 174-nucleotide unclassified non-coding RNA. Lineage: Eukaryota; Metazoa; Chordata; Testudines; Emydidae. The record is from Ensembl.
UCGAUGCAGUGGAGGAUGUCACGUUAUCAGUGGUAGAAGCUGCAACCUACACAGGCUAUGGCAGCACAAACUUCUCCUUGCCAUGGUGUUUCAGACCUGCCCUGCCUUGGAGAGACCCCUCUGUAGGCUGAGAGGGGCGCUCUAUCUCCUUGGCCCAUUCAGUCCUCGGCCCCU